CCUACGGGUGGCAGCAGUGAGGAAUAUUGGUCAAUGGACGAGAGUCUGAACCAGCCAAGUAGCGUGAAGGAUGACUGCCCUAUGGGUUGUAAACUUCUUUUAUAUGGGAAUAAAAUGUUCCACGUGUGGGAUUUUGUAUGUACCAUAUGAAUAAGGAUCGGCUAACUCCGUGCCAGCAGCCGCGGUAAUACGGAGGAUCCGAGCGUUAUCCGGAUUUAUGGGGUUUAAAGGGAGCGUAGGUGGAUUGUUAAGUCAGUUGUGAAAGUUUGCGGCGUAACCGUAAAAUUGCAGUUGAAACUGGCAGUCUUGAGUACAGGAGAGGUGGGCGGAAUUCGUGGUGUAGCGGUGAAAUGCUUAGAUAUCACGAAGAACUCCGAUUGCGAAGGCAGCUCACUGGACUGCAACUGACACUGAGGCUCGAAAGUGUGGGGAGCAAACAGGAUUAGAUACCCUUGUAGUC
Molecule: ribosomal RNA, 460 nt
Filed under: uncultured bacterium
Lineage: Bacteria
Description: partial 16S ribosomal RNA
Rfam family: Bacterial small subunit ribosomal RNA
Source: RNAcentral